AGAGUUUGAUCAUGGCUCAGAAUGAACGUUGGCGGCGUGGAUUAGGCAUGCAAGUCGUGCGAGAACUUGUAUUCUGAAGCUUCGGCUGAUGAAUGCAAGGGAAAGCGGCGUAAGGGAGAGUAACGCGUGGAUACCUACCCUCGGGACCGGGAUAGCGGCGGGAAACUGCCGGUAAUACCGGAUAAAGUCCCCGGACCAAAUGGUGUGAUUCCGCCUGAGGAUGGGUUCGCGUCCUAUUAGCCUGUUGGUGGGGUAAUGGCCUACCAAGGCAAAGAUGGGUACCGGGUGUGAGAGCAUGGCCCGGCUCACUGGGACUGAGACACUGCCCAGACACCUACGGGUGGCUGCAGUCGAGAAUCUUCGGCAAUGGGCGCAAGCCUGACCGAGCGACGCCGCGUGCGGGACGAAGGCCUUCGGGUUGUAAACCGCUGUCAGAGAGGUGGAAAUGUAUUGGGGUCAUCCCCAUUAUUUGACCUAAUCUCAGAGGAAGGACGGGCUAAGUUCGUGCCAGCAGCCGCGGUAAGACGAACCGUCCAAACGUUAUUCGGAGUCACUGGGCUUAAAGAGUGCGUAGGCGGCCUAGAAAGUUGGGUGUGAAAUCCCACGGCUCAACCGUGGAACUGCGCUCAAAACUUCUAGGCUUGAGGGAGAUAGGGGUGAGCGGAACUAAUGGUGGAGCGGUGA
This 684-nucleotide ribosomal RNA is filed under the name uncultured bacterium. RNAcentral describes it as "bacterial SSU rRNA". It matches the Rfam family "Bacterial small subunit ribosomal RNA", at positions 8 to 684 of the family's 1533-position model. The record is from RNAcentral.